This 485-nucleotide ribosomal RNA is filed under the name Porphyra umbilicalis (laver). RNAcentral describes it as "SSU rRNA". It matches the Rfam family "Eukaryotic small subunit ribosomal RNA", at positions 527 to 1023 of the family's 1831-position model. The record is from RNAcentral. Lineage: Eukaryota; Rhodophyta; Bangiophyceae; Bangiales; Bangiaceae.
UUAAAUCCCUUAUCGAGGAUCCAUUGGAGGGCAAGUCUGGUGCCAGCAGCCGCGGUAAUUCCAGCUCCAAUAGCGUAUAUUAAAGUUGUUSCAGUUAAAACGCUCGUMGUCGGAUUUCGAAGCACGCUCACGGGDDCGGUUUUUDCUGUUUCUGUGAGGGUGUCUUCUUUUUCUGGGACGCGUUGUGCGGGACUUGAUUGUCUCUGCACAUCUGCGGGCCGGACGUUUACUGUGAARAAAUUAGGGUGUUCAAAGCAGGCGUUUGCUAUGAAUACGUGAGCAUGGAAUAAUAGAAUAGGACUUGACCUCUAUUUKGUUGGUUUCCGGAGAACAAGUAAUGAUUAAUAGGGACAGUUGGGGGCAUUCGUAUUUCAUUGUCAGAGGUGAAAUUCUUGGAUUGAUGGAAGACGAACAACUGCGAAAGCAUCUGCCAAGGAUGUUUUCAUUGAUCAAGAACGAAAGUUAGGGGAUCGAAGACGAUCAGA